This is a long non-coding RNA of Quercus robur (English oak), 899 nucleotides long. RefSeq lists it as uncharacterized. The transcript has 4 exons. Lineage: Eukaryota; Viridiplantae; Streptophyta; Magnoliopsida; Fagales; Fagaceae. The record is from RefSeq and is a predicted model, not a curated record.
GCUGUUCUCUUGCAUUAACUCUUCUUAAUAAAAUCAACCAUUAUAAAGAGAAGCAAAGUUUCUUGCAUUAGCUUCAGCUAAUUCUUGUAGCCGAGAUAUUUUCAAGCUGCACUCUUAGCAAUGUAUGCUACUCUUGCUAGCCGAGAUGUGGACUGUUGUUUGAUUCCUGAGUCACUCCUUUUAUCUUGAAGGACCUGGUGGCCUAUUUGAAUUCAUUGAGAAAAGACGGAAAGAAAUGGUUAUAGUAAUGCAGGACAAGGGCUUCUUUCUGAAAGCAUGGGCACCAACAACCAGUAGGAUGCUUCUGAAAAUAAGUUACUCCAAGAUGUGGGUGUAGGGAUAUCUAAAAACAUUAAGGAUCACUUCACGAAAUGGAAGAAGAUGGCUAUAAAUCUUAAAUAUAUAGAUCCCACAUAAAUGAUCAGUACCACACCCUCCUUGCACACAGUGCCAUUCAUGGUGCAAUGGCAGGGUAUAUAGGCUUGACAGUUGGCCCUGUUAAUGAACACAUGCUUACAUACCAUUCCAUCAGGUGAUUGAGACACAGACAAGGUUGUGUUAACUGAGAGGAUGUGGGCAAAGGCUAAUACUAUCUUCAACAAAUCAGCCAAUCUGAUAAGACUGCAUACCAAAUCAAGACAAGAGAGGAAGAACUACAGAUCUUGUUACCAUUAGUAAAUGGGAACAACCAUUUAGAAGCCACGAUGGAUAAGCAGAGUGACUAGCAGCACAAUCCAAUUUGAGCAGCUGCUGAUUUGAAGUUGUCUUUGUCAUUGAUUGAUGGUAUCCCUUUUCUCUUUAUUUUUGCUGCAUGGAAAGUGUUACCGAUUGAACCCUAUACCCAGUUGUGAUUCAUGUGGUUUUAGCGUGAAAUUUCCAUAUACCACAGAUGAGGCUAA